UUUCUUGAAAAAGGAUUUUGGUACAACAUUAAUCUUUCUGAGUUGAUGAGGUACAUUGGUUCAUGAAAGCAUCUGUUUGCAAACUAUUUGGUUCAUAAACAAAAGCUCUUGGAAAAUUUUGCUUCAGUUCACAAGCUCUGUAUUAUGUAACAAAUAUGACCAUGGCCACCUUUCCUGCAAAAAUACAAAUGCAGUCAUCUUCCCACAAACCGUAAUCAAAUUAAGCUGUAAACUGAUAUACCAGUGUACUCAGACCCAGCUCUGGAUUCCAAGAAAAUCUUCCAUCUUCAGACAGAAUGAAGUGCAGUGUGUAACUCUUUCCAAACAACUUAAUAAAGGAGGCACUACUAUUUUUCAAGUCAUCAAACAUUUUAGAGGAAGUCUGCAGUGCCCUGUGGAAGAUCCUGACCCUGAAACUAUAUUCAGUACCACGUUGUUUGUUUCACAUCUAACUUCUUGACUUUGGGGAACUACACCCAGGAGAACUGACAUUUGUCGCAACAAAGCCACACACAAAAUAAUGAGGGGAAAUUUUUCUUUUUUACUUGAAAUGUAAUUUCUUCUAAAUCAAUAGUGUGCCGAUAUUCAUGUCUUAAGGAAACAACUAAAUACAGACAACUCACCUGUACAUGGAGGUCAUACUUUUGAAAAACUAUGGGGAAAAUAAAGCAACAAAAACAUAGCCAUAUCCAUUCCUGUAACCUCAGCAUAACAGAGUAGAAUAAUGACAAACAAUGGCUAAUACCAUCUUUUUCUUUUCCUUUAUAUUUUAAAGAUUGUUUAUGUAUGUAAGCCAAAACUAAAAGGGUAAAGACAGAUAAAACCCAGAUGGAUGGAGGAACUUUUGUGUAGUAAUUCUGUGUUUUAAAUGAAUUUUAAAAUUAUUAUGUGGAAUUCUAAAUUCCAAUCUCUGAGUUUUGUUUAUAAUGAUACACUGGUUUUAAUUAAGGAUUUUGAGUAUAUGGAACUAACUUCUUUUCAUCUUCCAAUGUGUGGCUUCCAUACAACUAAAGCCAUACCUUUCAUAAUAUCUGAACAUGAUUUUAGAUUCAGUAACCUAGUCGGUGGCUGAUUCAACAGAUGGAUGGGGGUUGAAUUACAUAAAGAGAUUUAAAAAUAGAAGUGAUCUUAAUUAUGGAUGCCAUGUCA
This 1149-nucleotide long non-coding RNA is filed under the name Heterocephalus glaber (naked mole-rat). Its description in RNAcentral is "lncRNA (ENSHGLG00000041909.1)". Lineage: Eukaryota; Metazoa; Chordata; Mammalia; Rodentia; Bathyergidae. The record is from RNAcentral.